GGUGGCUCAGUGGUAGAGUGCUUGCCUUGCAUGCAUGAAGCCCUGGGUUCGAUUCCUCAGUACCG
RNAcentral lists this transfer RNA (65 nucleotides) under Dipodomys ordii (Ord's kangaroo rat). It matches the Rfam family "tRNA". From Rfam's summary of the family: Transfer RNA (tRNA) molecules are approximately 80 nucleotides in length. Their secondary structure includes four short double-helical elements and three loops (D, anti-codon, and T loops). Lineage: Eukaryota; Metazoa; Chordata; Mammalia; Rodentia; Heteromyidae. The record is from Rfam by way of RNAcentral.